Molecule: transfer RNA, 74 nt
Filed under: Pelodiscus sinensis (Chinese soft-shelled turtle)
Lineage: Eukaryota; Metazoa; Chordata; Testudines; Trionychidae
Rfam family: tRNA
About the family: Transfer RNA (tRNA) molecules are approximately 80 nucleotides in length.
Source: Rfam by way of RNAcentral
GGCACCAUGGCUUAGUUGGCUAAAGCACCAGCCUAGUAAGCAGGAGAUCCUGGGUUCAACUCCCAGUGGUGCCU